UACGGAGGGUGCAAGCGUUGUUCGGAAUCACUGGGCGUAAAGCGCGUGUAGGCGGACUCUUAAGUCCGGUGUGAAAGCCCUGGGCUCACCCCCGGAAGGGCACUGGAUACUGGGAGGCUAGAGUACCGGAGAGGAGGGUGGAAUUCCUGGUGUAGCGGUGAAAUGCGUAGAUAUCAGGAGGAACACCGGUGGCGAAGGCGGCCCUCUGGACGGCUACUGACGCUGAGACGCGAAAGCGUGGGGAGCAAACAGG
This 253-nucleotide ribosomal RNA is filed under the name uncultured bacterium. RNAcentral's name for it is "partial 16S ribosomal RNA". It matches the Rfam family "Bacterial small subunit ribosomal RNA", at positions 524 to 776 of the family's 1533-position model. The record is from RNAcentral.